CGGGACGGGGUGGAGUAAUGUCUGGGAAACGUGCCUGAUGGAGGGGGGUAACUACUGGAAACGGGAGCUAAUACCGCAUAACGUCGCAAGACCAAAGAGGGGGACCUUCGGGCCUCUUGCCAUCGGAUGUGCCCAGAUGGGAUUAGCUAGUAGGUGGGGUAAAGGCUCACCUAGGCGACGAUCCCUAGCUGGUCUGAGAGGAUGACCAGCCACACUGGAACUGAGACACGGUCCAG
Molecule: ribosomal RNA, 236 nt
Filed under: uncultured bacterium
Lineage: Bacteria
Description: partial 16S ribosomal RNA
Rfam family: Bacterial small subunit ribosomal RNA
Source: RNAcentral